This 399-nucleotide unclassified non-coding RNA is filed under the name Hevea brasiliensis (rubber tree). Lineage: Eukaryota; Viridiplantae; Streptophyta; Magnoliopsida; Malpighiales; Euphorbiaceae. The record is from RNAcentral.
UGUAAGAAACUGAUGCCAUGGAAGAUGUUACAACCACUCUCUUGAGAGAAGGAACCUUUGCACAUGACUUUAGCACAUUUAGUGUUCCCUUUACUGCAGGAUCAAUCAAAUCUGACUGAAAUAUGAAGAAUUAGGAAAAGAAAAAAUAAAGACGACCCUGUGAAAUUAGAUCACAAGAAAGAUUUGCAAACCAAAUAUGUUGUGAAAGCACACAUCCCGUGUUUGAACAAUAAAUUAUGCAAAUUUGAACUCGUAUGAGGCUUCAAGUAUCAUAGCUCAAGCCUUAGAAUUGACGCAUAUAAGAGAUUCCUAGAAAACUAUUGAGAGGAAAAAUUGAUUAGAAUUAGCAUCAACUUCACCUGAGGUUCAUUGGUUGAAAGAAUGACAGGAGAAGCUGUA